GCCCGCCUAGCUCAAUCGGAUAGAGCGUCAGACUCUUAUGAGACUGCAAUCGGCGGGUAUCUGAAGGCUGCGAGUUCGACCCUCGCGGUGGGCU
Non-coding RNA from Mycena vulgaris, 94 nucleotides. Lineage: Eukaryota; Fungi; Basidiomycota; Agaricomycetes; Agaricales; Mycenaceae. The record is from the annotation of a GenBank genome assembly.